This 23226-nucleotide long non-coding RNA is filed under the name Triticum aestivum (bread wheat). RNAcentral describes it as "long non-coding RNA (TAES_LNC010756)". Lineage: Eukaryota; Viridiplantae; Streptophyta; Magnoliopsida; Poales; Poaceae. The record is from RNAcentral.
UGGAUUUGCUCGUGGGUUGAGUGAUGGGCUUCCCAAGUUCAUCAAAGCUGAGGGUGCUGCUGGGUAAGUAAAUCUGCCAGCCAACUUAAAAACUUAAUGAUUUUCUUUUCUUACCCUGAUCCUAUGCCCUAACUUUUAUUUGUUAAUAAUGCCAGGCUCUACAAGGGCAUUGUUCCGCUCUGGGGUCGCCAGAUUCCUUGUAAGUGCUGUCUCUUAUCAUUCUGUUAUACUCUUUUAAUAUGAAUAGUCACUCCUAUGAUUGUUUCACAAAUGUGGCCUGCUUUGGUACCACCAAAUGCUCAAAAGCUGGUCUCCUGUUUCAUCUGAUUGGCACUGUUGUGUUUUCUUUGAUAUGCCAAUUGGUGAUGUUUUGUAGAGUAACUUUCUCUUCUCCUGUAUGAGCAUUCUUCUAUCCUAUUGAUGGCCAACCAUGCUGAUGCUAUUCUAUAUUCGUUUUACCAUUUCUAUUUGUUGCUUAGCUUAUGGGCAUUAUUCAUUGACUCCUUAGAGUCAUUCACUCCACAGUUGUGAUGGUAGUUUUUAGCUGAAACUCCAAAAUUCACUUCUCUCGCAAAAAAAUAAAUAUGGACAUUACUGUAUGCCUGUAUCUAGUCUGAUAUCUACUGAACUUGACAACUUUUGUCUAUUGUAAAUUGGUUAUGGCAGAACAUUUUGAAUCCACAUGUCUGUUAUAUGUUUGCCAAUUUUGUUUGGAUAUUAUGUUCAUAAAUGACAAGAAAGGGAAUUCCCAUCAAUCUCAAUUCCAUACCUCAUAACAUGAUGAUGUUUGUGUUCCCCUCUCUUAAGGGGUUAUGCUUGGUUACAGUUUGUCUGAAGUCUCGAAGUUUACGCAGACUAAUGUUAGCUGAUGCAGAUUGCAAGUGUCUACUUCCACUUCUAGGAUUGGCCAAUGUUAAUUGAAUAUGACAUAAUGUUUGAAUUUUAUUAGUUGUAGCCUUCUAGUUAUCACAUGUCAUCUAGAUAGAAUUUGAUAGAUGCUGAAUGUAUAAUGCUUUGAACUUCUGUUGUUGUUCAUAUGUUAUGGUGUACUCAUCCAUUGAAUAUUUCCAUGCUUUAUUCAGACACCAUGAUGAAGUUUGCUUCCUUUGAGACCAUUGUUGAGCUUAUCUACAAACACGCUGUUCCUGUUCCCAAGGCCGAGUGCAGCAAGUCUUCCCAGUUGGGUAUCAGCUUUGCUGGUGGCUACAUUGCUGGUGUCUUCUGUGCUAUUGUUUCUCACCCGGCUGACAACCUGGUCUCUUUCCUCAACAAUGCCAAGGGUGCUACAGUGGGUGAUGUAAGCAUGUUUCUAUCUAGUUUAUCUUUGAGAUUUUCUAUCCUCUUCUUAACUACUGGACUAUUUGCUGACUUCAUGUUAUUAUUAAACCUUCGUAGGCUGUUAAGAAGAUUGGCAUGUUGGGCCUUUUCACCAGAGGACUUCCCCUUCGCAUCGUCAUGAUCGGUACUCUUACCGGUGCUCAGUGGGGAAUCUAUGACGCCUUCAAGGUCAUGGUGGGACUGUAAGUAUCUCAUCCUCUAUGCAAAUUCAUCUGGUAAACAACUUCUGAGGAAGUAGUAACAAUUGGUAAUCCAUUUUCUUCCAGCCCGACCACCGGCGGUGCUCCACCAGUUGCUCCGGUAGAGGAAGCAGCGAAAGCCAUCGCUUGAUUGAUUUUUCCUACUAUGACGAUGACGAUGUAUUCCGGGAUGAUGGGGUAUUGGUGGAUGGGGACUGUAUCAAUUACUUGAGUUUAGCACCCGAAAUCUUUUGUUAUUGUAGCAGAUGGUUAUUGUGUCAUCAUUUUGAUGAGAGGAACUCAUUAAGCAGGCGAAAUAGGCCUUUUUUUGUCCCCGGGAAGUUUGAUGCUUGACAUAAUAAGUUUUAGGACAGCAAGGCUGUUAGAGCGCAGGUUUUGCCAUCACCUGUACUGAGGAAUUCCCAUAUUAUACUCCUGUUUACCUCCAAUUCUAUGCUGUUGAUAUCGUGGCAUGUUCGUUUCUGAACGGGUAGAACGUUUAUUGUUUUACUAGUAGUAGUAGUUAUCUUCUCUUCGUGCUUGCAAAAUCAUUCCUUGGUCUUCUGAGAUAAGUCAUGCAGUACUAUUGUUUUGUUCGGGCAAACAGGUAGACAGAGUAUUAGGCUGGUUGUAAUGGGCAGUAUCAUCAUAUACUACUUCCUCUGUUCCUAAAUAUUUGUCUUUCUAGACAUUUUAAACGGACUACCAUAUAUGGAUGCAUGUAGACAUAUUUUAGAGUGUAGAUUUACUCAUUUUGCUCUGUAUGUAGUCACUUGUUUAAAUAUCUAGAAAGACAAUUAUUUAGGAACGAAGGGAGUACAUCCUUAAUGCAUAGUAUCAUAAGUUGGUAUCAUACUCCCUUCUUUUCGGUUUAUAAGGCUCAAUUCAAAAAUCUCACCAACCAAGAUAAAUGAUAAGUGAUGAAAUAUUUUUUGUAGUUUGCAAAAGCAUUCAAUUAAUGCUUUUGUUUUCCUCAAAAUAUUAUGUUUACAAAUGCAUUAAUUAUAAUGCAUGUAUACAUUGGUCAGUUUUCUCUUAAUACUUGCAUGCAAUGAUUUAAUGUAUCUUGAAGUCUAAGCAUGUGAUAGGAAAUAACCAAAUUGAGCCUUAUAAAAUGAAAAAACUAAAAUUUUGAGAUAAGACCUAUAAACCGGAAAGGAGGAAGUAGAGGACUACAUUUAUUGCCAUGCAUGACACAAAGUAGCACAUCAUUUAAUAUGUGACGGUAUCAUAAUAUGAUACUCAAACCUCUCUUUCUUCAUUUAUUUCUAUGCCAUUUCAUCAAACUUGCUUAGUUGGCAUGCAUGAUACUACCUACGAUACUUCCAUUACGAGCAGCCUUAUCGACAGGUGGUACACGUCAACAGUUAUUGCUGUUUGUGUAAUGAUGCCUUUAGGAAGACACGCCAGCUGAUUUUAAAUUCAUAUCUGAUUAUCAGGUCUUUCUACCAGGUUAUAUUGCCAACAUACUAAUCUCACAAGCAAUUCUGGAAGUCUUGUUUGAAAGUAUGAUUAUCUUUAGCUUUAGGGCCCAGGAUUCAUAAUAACUCAAAAACAGAGGAAAAAAUAUACAUAGAAAUAUUAUAGCCUUGCAUGUGCAUUAUAGAGGGAUUGGUGGAAACGCAUUAAUUUACACAUUUUUUUUUGUGGGGGUUCAAAAGGAGUUCUAUUCUUCCAUCGUGAGGCAACAUUUUCUCUAUACAUAGGAAUUGAAAAAACAAAGGAAUACUAAUGCUGUUAAACAACAUUUUUAAUUUCCGGACCACCUGUUUUUUGGGACUGAUCCGAACGAUCCUAGUGGCGUCCAAUCUACAUCUAGCGGCCAUGGAUCGUCCUGUGCAUUGAUCUAGAUGAAGAAAAUUGCGACCACGAACCCAAGUCGCUAGCGCGAGCACAGGAUACUGACCAACUCGGCUAGGUAGGUCUUUUUGUGCAGCUAUGUUUUUUUUGCCUCCUUUGUCUCAGUUUUCUUGCUCCCCUGGUCUCUACAUUGUCUCAAUUUUUNNNNNNNNNNNNNNNNNNNNNNNNNNNNNNNNNNNNNNNNNNNNNNNNNNNNNNNNNNNNNNNNNNNNNNNNNNNNNNNNNNNNNNNNNNNNNNNNNNNNNNNNNNNNNNNNNNNNNNNNNNNNNNNNNNNNNNNNNNNNNNNNNNNNNNNNNNNNNNNNNNNNNNNNNNNNNNNNNNNNNNNNNNNNNNNNNNNNNNNNNNNNNNNNNNNNNNNNNNNNNNNNNNNNNNNNNNNNNNNNNNNNNNNNNNNNNNNNNNNNNNNNNNNNNNNNNNNNNNNNNNNNNNNNNNNNNNNNNNNNNNNNNNNNNNNNNNNNNNNNNNNNNNNNNNNNNNNNNNNNNNNNNNNNNNNNNNNNNNNNNNNNNNNNNNNNNNNNNNNNNNNNNNNNNNNNNNNNNNNNNNNNNNNNNNNNNNNNNNNNNNNNNNNNNNNNNNNNNNNNNNNNNNNNNNUCUCUCAGCAUACAGGUCAAAAAAGAUUAUUCGUUUAGAGGAGAGAAAAGAGGUGUAACAUGGGAAUUCAAACACAUCACCUCGUUGUAUAGGAUCAACCAACCCCGAUAACCAAAUCAAUCUAUUUAAGCUGGUUUUUCUACUGUAUCAGAAUCUAAUUUUCUUUCUUUCUUUUCAUUGGGUUUCCUGGAGUUUCAUCGGUGUUCUAGUUCAUGUGAUGGAAGUAGGCAUCUUCACGAACACCCCUAAGAGUGGUGUAGGCAAUUUUGGUGGUGGGACCAAUGAAGCCUUUACAUGAGAUGCAGCCAAAGACCUGAUAAUUUACGGUUUUGAAUGAAUAACUUCUGUACAAACAACAUGAUAAUUUUACACAUCACAGAAUUGAUAAAUUAGGCACAAAUAUUGUGGUAACUUUGACUCGGAGAAAAAUGUUGAAAUAUGUUUCGUUAACUUUUGAAAUACCAUGGUAAUAUACGAACCACGAACUUGAUAAAUUAGUACAAACACCGAUGUAGCACUGACCAGGAAAGAACAAGUUGUUAAAAAACAUAAUCCAGUAACUUAAGUAUAAAAUAACACGGUAAUAUAUGAACCACGUACUUGAUAACUUAUGUACGAACACCAUGCUAACUUGCUCGGGAAAAAAUAGUUGAUGAAAAAUAUACCCCGGUAACUUAUGUAUAAAUAGCAUGGUAAGUACGAAGCGCAGACUUGAUAACUUACGCGUAAACACCGUGGUAAGUUUGACCAGGGAAAAAGUUGUUGAAAAACAUAACCCUGGUAACUAGCAUGGUAAUAUAGCCCCUCAGAACGUUGCUGAUAACCCACGCACAAACACCGCAAUAGUUUUUGCCCCGGGAAAAAGAUGCUGAAAACAAAACUCCCGAUAACUUCUUUGUAAAGAGCAUGGUAAUUCAUGCAUCACAUCCUUGGCCGAGUAAUCACUGCUGGCCCAUUAACUGGUGGGCAAAGAAAGGUCGAUUAUUUGGCCCAUAACCCCUCCUAGCCCGCUCAUGCUCCUAAAUAGUUAGGGUUUGGCCCUCUUCCCACCCCCUCCCGCUCCUCUCAUCCCCUCCCGACCUAGAUUGCGUGGCCAGGUUCACGUUGGCGCUUCGUCCCUUCCCUUCCUCCCCUAUGUGUCGCCGCUUCAUGUGCUCCCUCUAUGCGCUGCUACUUCGCCUCCUCCUUUGCGACCUGCCACCACCCUCUACGUGUCGCCGUCGCGCGGCCGCCGUCUCUCGGAGUUGUGGUCCAGGCGUAAAUUAGCAAAAGAUGUUGAUGUAUACAUGUUUGUUGAUGAUUGUUGUCAUAUACAUGUGCAUGAUCUAUUGAGAAAAUAAAACGGUGCCAUUUGCUUCAUAUGUGCAAUGUAGAAUUUUUAUAGCAUUCAAGGAGUAGGGCAUUUUGGAGACCGAGCUCCAUGGAGCCAUUUAUUUUAAAAAAUUCAAAAUUCAAAAAUUUCGGUUUAAAAAAUUCUGAAAAAUUAGACAUGUAUGCAAGGAUGUAAAGUGUAUGUGUGAAAUUUUUAAGGAUGAAAUACCUUGAAUUGCAAGCUUCACAAAAAAAAUCAUAGACUUUAAAGAUGAACAGUACAUAUGCUAAAAAGCCUCAGAUUUGUCUUUUUUGUGUAGCUCACAUUUUAUUGUAUUUCGAACUAAAAAUUUGCACACGUGUACAUUAUAUAUCUAGGUAUAUGUGUAUUUAUUUUCAGAAUUUUCUGAAACUGAAAAGUUUGAAUUUUGAAGUUUUCAAAUAAAGGCCUCCAUGGAGCUCGGUCUCCGUUUGGCAUUUUCAUAUUGUCUCUAUACAAAAAUUGUGCCUAUUGAGUUUAAAAUUCCAUCAAUUAACAGUCGACCGAUUAAUCCAGUUAACAGGCCGAUUUACCGAUUAAUCUCCAUUCCCAAGCUGAGCGAGCAGCUACCAGUUAACGAUUUCCUCAGCAUUGAUUAUGCGUAUGUAUGAGCGUCUAUGUCCGUACUGCCUUCAAAAAGGGAACUUUGACUGGGGGCGGGGAGGGGGCGGAAUUGUUGAAAAACAUACCUGAUAACUUAUGGGUAAAUUAUGAUAUGCAUGAACAACGAACCUGAUAAGUUACAUAUAAAUACCAUGAUAACUUUGACGGAUGAAAAAAGUUGUUGAAACAUAUGUCGGUAACUUUAGUGAACACCAUGAUCAGAGUGGUAACUUUUGAACCAAAAAAAGUCAUCGGAACAUAUCAACAUGAUAUCUAGUUUUGAAGAUAUGUCAAAACGGGUUUUGAAUCGAACCAAUGGUUUGAGCUACAAAAUAUUUUGAAUAUUCAAAUAGGAAAAAAUGUUUGAUGACAUCAUGAAAUCUGUCUUUUCCUACAUGCAUGUAAUUAGUUACUCUAAUAAGGAAGGAAUGUCACGCAUAUUUAUGAGAAAGUAGAAUAAGGUGAAGGCAUACUCGUCUGGUUAUGUUCCUAAUUUCCGAAUGAUCAAACGUUAUCACAGUUCAAAGUUAAAACAUAUGCAAAGGUGUACAUAAAUUGAGUGAAUUGUAAUGUCUCCUUGUUUUUUUCCUAUGAAACUCAAACCAAAGGAUGUUACCAUAGUGAAAUUUCCGGCUUAGAUCAGCUGGACUUUGGUAGCCUGACUUUUGCCUCUGUCAACUGUCAGAUGAAGAAUGAACAAUCUAGAUUCACACAUUUCAUUUAAUCUGAUUUCACACGUUUCACACAACAAUCUUGCUAAGUCUUAGACUGAGACUUGGUUAUGUCUCAGUCGGUGCUAUAUUUGUAAGAUCAAACCUUCGUAUUCAUGCAAAAUUUUCUUUUUAGAUUUUUUUCUUUCUUUCUUACAUGAUACGUCAUUUGACCGAGACUUGGUUACAUCUCUGUCGACUGGGACCUAGCCGCACCCUUCACAUUAUUAGUGUUGGUGUAUAAAUAAUGUAAUUAGAGAACUCUGUAGGGUCUAAAAUGUAAAGUGUACAAACAAAAUAUAACUCAGAACGGAGAGACUGGAUCGGUGAGGAAUGCUCCAGAAUUCCCCCAAAUCCUCUUCGUGCCAUCUCCAAUCCCUAGCCCAAAUCUUACAAAUCCCACAUGAUUUUCAUCAUGGCAUCAGGGCAGGUUAAUCUGAUGUGAUUUUGAUCUUGAUGGCGGCUGAUUGAGGCGCUGUGUCGCCGUGAUUUCUGGCUGUGGGUGUUGGUUGCUGCGCACCCAUCUCCGUCGUACGCCGGCGGCCGCUGUUCUCUCGAAGCUGCGGAAGGAGCACCGCGACCGGCGUACUGUUGCCUGCCGCAUCGCCGACCACCGUCUGGUGCGGCUGCGCUGGAUGCUGUAUGCUUGGGCUGGUCCAUCAGGAAAUUACUUGGUGAUGCUGCGUCGCCCAUGUCCAAGCAGUAAGCUAGCUUGCUAGGUGUCCGAUUGAUUGCAAGGCUAGCUGAUUGAUAGUGGUGCGUGCAUUUGGUGCUUCUCCUGGUCUAGUCCCGUGAGAUUUGGUCAGGCGUGCAUACAAGUACAGUUCACUUUUCUUUGUCACUGCAUUUGGUCAUAUGUGUGAGAAGAAAAUAGUGUGUGCGCCUUCCUCUGGACAAUUGUGAUUAGUGCCGCUGGAAAGCUCGUAUUGCUGGGUGUCCGGAUUAAAAUACUCUGCUCGUGCCUGUGUGCAUUUGAGAGCAACUCGUAGAAGUACAUCUACUUGCCAUCAACAUUUUGUACUAGUGUACUGUUGCUAGCGGAGUGCUGCAAAAUCAAGUCAUGUGUGACUAGCUCCUGGUUGGGUUGUAGUGAGUCAUGGAAGAUCCAACCAAGGAGAAAUCAGGGGAUUCUAGUGUGGAUAAGUUGUAUGAGAUUUUAAGCAAAGUAUUUGAGCAGCAACAGCAACAACUCAAAGUGGUUCCUGAAGCAAUCAAGUAUGCACUUGAGCCUAAUCCAGUAAAGUUGGGUGGACCGAGCAAUUACAUCAGCUGGGCGCGUCAUGCCCAGUUAAUUCUGAAUUCUCAUGGCUAUGAAGAAUUGCUUAGUGCUGAUGAAGAGAAACUGAAAAGUGGCACUAGCACAAAACAAAUUAAUGAUAGAGUGUUGGUCUGGUUAUUAGGAAGCAUGGAACCACCUAUUCGAGAACAAGUUGAGACUAUGACUACUAUAUUUGAAGUGUGGAAAGCUUUGGAGAAGCAAUUUUCAGGAAAGUCAAAUAAGAUGCAGGCUACUCGCAUCAUGCAUGAGUUGACUAACUUGAAGCAAGGCUCGAAAUCAGUGACUGAGUAUGCAGGUGAGAUGAAGAGACUGUACAGGGAGUUGCAUUAUUACCACCCUUUUGAGCCUGUUGAUAAGAAUGACAUGACUGUUCACCAUACCUGGUUUGAACCGUUUGUGGGCAAGCUCUUCCUCGAUGGCCUAAAUCAGGAGUUUGAUCUCCGUCGCCAGCUUAUAUUCUCCAAGACUGAAUGGCUAAGCCUUGACGAUAUCAUUUCCAGUGUGAUUGAGGAGGAGACUCGUCUUGCUCAACCCAAGGAGCAUGGUCAAGAAAAAUCAGAUGCACGUGCAGCCCUAUCCAUACAAGCUCGUCGUGCUCCUAAGUCCUUUCGUAAAAUAGAUAAAAGCAAACUUUUUUGCAACCAUUGCAAAAGGCCUGGACACACAAAGGAUGCAUGUUUUGAACUGCAUGGCUAUCCAACUUGGUGGGAAAAAGGAAAGUCUCAGCCAGGGGGAGGUCAGGGAGCUCAUAAAAGACAAGCUAACCUCACUACAUCCAAGGGGGGGCUACCGGUGGUAGAUGUGCAAGCUCUUGAGGAUUUCACCUCCAAGCUUAGUCUCUCAGAAGACUUGUCUUCCUCCCAGGAUUCCUCUACAGUUGAAUCUAGUUUCCAUGCUACUUCACACAAAGGUAUGACACCUCACCAGGCGCACAAUGUUACAACACAAUCAAAAUCUUGGAUUAUUGAUACAGGAGCUACAAACCACAUGACAGGAGCUUCAAAUAUAUUCACUUCCUAUACACCUUGUUCAGGUAAGGACAAGGUACGUGUAGCUGAUGGAUCCAUGGCACCUAUCACAGGACGUGGAUCUGUUAGGUGCACCAAGACAUUGUCCUUAUCUCCUGUCUUGCAUGUUCCUAAUUUUCUAGUCAUCCUCUUGUCAGUUAGCUCUAUUAUUAAAUCUCUCAAUUGUAGAGGUUGGUUUGAUCCUACUUGUUGUGCUUUUCAGGAGCUAGGGACAGGGAGACUAUUGGGGACUGGGACCGUGCAUGAUGGACUCUACUAUCUUGAUGAAGGAAGUGAUGAAGUUGCUUUUGCGUUAUGCUUGUCUCCUAGUCAAGAACUACUACUAUACCAUCGCAGGCUUGGGCAUCUCUCUUUUGUUGCACUGUUUCGUAUUUACCCCUCUCUUUUCAAAUUGUGUCCUAGGGAGAUCCUUGCAUGUGAUGCUUGUGAAUUGGCUAAACAUACAAGGGGUUCAUAUCCUAGUAUAGGAUUAAGAAGUGGCAAACCAUUUGAAAUGAUUCACUCAGAUGUUUGGGGACCUUGUGAGGUUCGUUCAAUUUUUGGGCAUCGAUGGUUUGUAACUUUUAUCGAUUGCUUUAGUCGCUACACUUGGCUUUAUCUCCUGAAGCAUAAGAGUGAUGUGUGCUCGGUUUUUAAGGAUUUAUGUGCUCUUAUUAAAAAUCAACAUGGGGCAACUAUUAAAAUCUUACGGUCAGACAAUGGUACGGAAUAUAUUAACCAGGAGUUUGGACAAUUCCUUGCCUCAAACGGCAUUGAACAUCAAAGUACAUGUGUUAACACUCCAGAACAAAAUGGUGUUGUAGAGCGUAAAAAUAGACAUUUGCUUGAGGUUGCACGCUCACUUAUGUUUACCAUGAACGUGCCUAAAUGUCUUUGGGGGGAGGCAAUAAAAACUGCAACAUACUUGAUAAACCGUAUGCCUCUUCGGGUUCUUGGCCAUAAGACCCCUGCUGAGUGUCUUCUUAAAUCUAAUGAUUUUGUAGUUCCUCCAAAGGUCUUUGGGUGUGUUUGCUUUGUGCAUGAUUAUAGGAACUCUGUUGGAAAAUUAGAUCCACGUGCUCUCAAAUGUGUUUUCAUGGGUUAUUCUCCUUCUCAAAAGGGUUACCGGUGUUGGUGUCCUUCGGAGCGCCGGUUUUUUGUGAGCAUGGAUGUGACAUUCCGUGAACAUGAAUCAUAUUAUGGCUCAACCAAUGACACUGGCAUUGCCUUAUCCCCAUCUAAAGUGCAGCGGGAAGGGGAGAGUGGUACUAAAGGAUCUCCAUUAAUCCCUAUUCAUGUUUCCACUUCAAAUGGUUUACCCACUUUAGAUGAUGUUCGAAAUCAAGGGAGGAGACAAAUAGCGAUGGGUGUAAUAAUGGUUCUGAUCAUGGAGACAUACAAGAUGCAUCAGGAGACUCUUCACUUCCUUCACAAGAUGGUGAGCUUGACAUGCAUGAGGACCCAGGUACUAAAAAUUGUUGGAAAUAUGCCCUAGAGGCAAUAAUAAAUUAGUUAUUAUUAUAUUUCCUUGUUCAUGAUAAUCGUUUAUUAUCCAUGCUAGAAUUGUAUUGAUAGGAAACUCAGAUACAUGUGUGGAUACAUAGACAACACCAUGUCCCUAGUAAGCCUCUAGUUGACUAGCUCGUUGAUCAAUAGAUGGUUACGGUUUCCUGACCAUGGACAUUGGAUGUCAUUGAUAACGGGAUCACAUCAUUAGGAGAAUGAUGUGAUGGAUAAGACCCAAUCCUAAGCCUAGCACACGAUCAUGUAGUUCGUAUGCUAAAGCUUUUCUAAUGUCAAGUAUCAUUUCCUUAGACCAUGAGAUUGUGCAACUCCCGGAUACCGUAGGAAUACUUUGGGUGUGCCAAACGUCACAACGUAACUGGGUGACUAUAAAGGUGCACUACGGGUAUCUCCGAAAGUGUCUGUUGGGUUGGCACGAAUCGAGACUGGGAUUUGUCACUCCGUGUGACGGAGAGGUAUCUCUGGGCCCACUCGGUAGGACAUCAUCAUAAUGUGCACAAUGUGAUCAAGGAGUUUAUCACGGGAUGAUCUGUUACGGAACGAGUAAAGAGACUUGCCGGUAACGAGAUUGAACAAGGUAUCGGGAUACCGACGAUCGAAUCUCGGGCAAGUAUUGUAUCGAUAGACAAAGGGAAUUGUAUACGGGAUUGAUUAAGUCCUUGACAUCGUGGUUCAUCCGAUGAGAUCAUCGUGGAACAUGUGGGAGCCAACAUGGGUAUCCAGAUCCCGCUGUUGGUUAUUGACCGGAGAGUCAUCUCGGUCAUGUCUGCAUGUCUCCCGAACCCGUAGGGUCUACACACUUAAGGUUCGGUGACGCUAGGGUUAUAGAGAUAUUAGUAUGCGGUAACCCGAAAGUUGUUCGGGGUCUCGGAUGAGAUCCCGGACGUCACGAGGAGUUCCAGAAUGGUCCGGAGGUAAAGAUUUAUAUAUGGGAAGUCUUGUUUUGGUCGCCGGACAAGUUUUGAGGUCACCGGUAUUGUACCGGGACCACCGGAAGGGUCCCGGGGGUCCACCGGGUGGGGCCACCUGCCCCGGGGGGCCACAUGGGCUGUAGGGGGUGCGCCUUGGCCUAUAUGGGCCAAGGGCACCAGCCCCAAGAGGCCCAUGCGCCAAGAGAAGAGGGAAAGGAAGAGUCAUAAAGGGGGAAGGCACCUCCGAGGUGCCUUGGGGAGGAGGGACUCCUCCCUGGCCGCACCCUUCCUUGGAGGAAGGGCCAAGGCUGCGCCCCCUCUCCCUUGGCCCUAUAUAUAGUGGGGGAAGGGAGGGCAGCAACACCUAAGCCCUGGCGCCUCCCUCUCCCUCCCAUGACACACCUCCCUCCUCCCGCAGCGCUUGGCGAAGCCAUGUUGGAAUCCCGCUACUUCCACCACCACGCCGUCGUGCUGCUGGAUCUCCAUCAACCUCUCCUCCCCCCUUCCUGGAUCAAGAAGGAGGAUACGUCGCUGCUCCGUACGUGUGUUGAACGCGGAGGUGCCGUCCGUUCGGCGCUAGGAUCAUCGGUGAUUUGGAUCACGACGAGUACGACUCCAUCAACCCCAUUCUCUUGAACGCUUCCGCGCGCGAUCUACAAGGGUAUGUAGAUCCACUCUUCCCUCGUUGCUAGAUGACUCCAUAGAUAGAUCUUGGUGACACGUAGGAAAAUUUUGAAUUUAUGCUACGUUCCCCAACAGUGGCAUCAUGAGCUAGGUCUAUGCGUAGUUUCUAUGCACGAGUAGAACACAAAGUAGUUGUGGGCGUUGAUUUUGUUCAAUAUGCUUACCGUUACUAGUCCAAUCUUGAUUCGGUGGCAUUGUGGGAUGAAGCGGCCCGGACCGACCUUACACGUACUCUUACGUGAGACUGGUUCCACCGACUGACAUGCACUAGUUGCAUAAGGUGGCUAGCGGGUGUCUGUCUCUCCCACUUUAGUCGGAUCGGAUUCGAUGAAAAGGAUCCUUAUGAAGGGUAAAUAGCAAUUGGCAUAUCACGUUGUGUUUUUUGCGUAGGUAAGAAAUGUUCUUGCUAGAAACCCAUAGCAGCCACGUAAAACAUGCAAACAACAAUUAGAGGACGUCUAACUUGUUUUUGCAGGGUAUGCUAUGUGAUGUGAUAUGGCCAAAGGAUGUGAUGAAUGAUAUAUGUGAUGUAUGAGAUGAUCAUGUUCUUGUAAUACGAAUCAAGACUUACAUGUCGAUGAGUAUGACAACCGGCAGGAGCCAUAGGAGUUGUCUUUAUUUAUUAUAUGACCUGCGUGUCAUUGAACAACGCCACGUAAUUACUUUACUUUAUUGCUAACCGUUAGCUGUAGUAGUAGAAGUAAUAGUUGGCGAGACAACUUCAUGAAGACACGAUGAUGGAGAUCAUGAUGAUGGAGAUCAUGGUGUCAUGCCGGUGACAACGAUGAUCAUGGAGCCCCGAAGAUGGAGAUCAAAAGGAGCAAAAUGAUAUUGGCCAUAUCAUGUUACUAUUUGAUUGCAUGUGAUGUUUAUCAUGUUUAUACAUCUUAUUUGCUUAGAACGACGGUAGUAAAUAAGAUGAUCCCUCAUUAAAAUUUCAAGAAAGUGUUCCCCCUAACUGUGCACCAUUGCGAAAGUUCGUCGUUUCGAAGCACCACGUGAUGAUCGGGUGUGAUAGAUUCUUACGUUCGAAUACAACGGGUGUUGACAAGCCUAGCAUGCACAGACAUGGCCUCGGAACACAUGCAAAACACUUAGGUUGACUUGACGAGCCUAGCAUGUACAGACAUGACCUCGGAACACAAGAGACCGAAAGGUCGAGCAUGAGUCGUAUGGUGGAUACGAUCAACAUGAAGAUGUUCACCGAUGAUGACUAGUCCGUCUCACGUGAUGAUCGGACACGGCCUAGUUGACUCGGAUCAUGUAAUCACUUAGAUGACUGGAGGGAUGUCUAUCUGAGUGGGAGUUCAUAAGAUGAACUUAAUUAUCUUGAACAUAGUCAAAAGGUCUUCGCAAAUUAUGUUGUAGCUCGCGCUUUAGUUCUACUGUUUAGAUAUGUUCCUAGAGAAAAUUUAGUUGAAAGUUGAUAGUAGCAAUUAUGCGGACUAGGUCCGUAGACUGAGGAUUGUCCUCAUUGCUUCAUAGAAGGCUUAUGUCCUUAAUGCACCGCUCAGUGUGCUGAACCUCGAACGUCGUCUGUGGAUGUUGCGAACAUCUGACAUACACAUUUUGAUAACUACGUGAUAGUUCAGUUAGACGGUUUAGAGUUGAGGCACCGAAGACGUGUUAAAACGUCGCGAAACAUAUGAGAUGUUUCGAGGGCUGAAAUUGGGAUUUCACGCUCAUGCCCACGUCAAGAGGUAUAAGACCUCCGACGAUUUUCUUAGCCUACAAACUAAGGGAGAAAAGCUCAAUUGUUGAACUUGUGCUCAGAUUGUCUGAGUACAACAAUCGCUUGAAUCGAGUGGGAGUUGAUCUUCCAGAUGAAAUAGUGAUGGUUCUCCGAAGUCAUUACCACCAAGCUGCUUGAGCUUCGUGAUGAACUAUAAUAUAUCAGGGACAUAUAUGAUGAUCCUUGAGAUAUUCGCGAUGUUUGACACCACAAAAGUAGAGAUCAAGAUGGAGCAUCAAUUGUUGAUGGUUGGUGAAACCACUAGUUUCAAGAAGGGCAAGGGCAAAAAGGGAUGCUUCAUGAAACGGCAAAUCAGCUGCUGCUCUAGUGAAGAAACCCAAGGUUGAACCCAAACCCGAGACUAAGUGCUUCUGUAAUAAAGGGAACAACCACUGGAGCAGAAUUACCCUAGAUACUUGGUAGAUAAGAAGGCUGGCAAGGUCGAUAAAAGUAUAUUGGAUGUAUUAUGUUAAUGUGUACUUUACUAGUACUCCUAGUAGCACCAGGGUAUUAGAUACCGGUUCGGUUGCUAAGUGUUAGUAACUCGAAAUAAAAGCUACGGAAUAAACGGAGACUAGCUAAAGGUGAGCUAACGAUAUGUGUUGGAAGUGUUUCCAAGGUUGAUAUGAUCAAGCAUCGCACGCUCCCUCUACCAUCGAGAUUGGUAUUAAAACCUAAAUAAUUGUUAUUUGGUGUUUGCGUUGAGCAUAGACAUGAUUGGAUUAUGUCUAUCGCGAUACGGUUAUUCAUUUAAGGAGAAUAAUGGUUACUCUAUUUAUUUGAAUAAUACCUUCAAUGGUCUUACACCUGAAAUGAAUGGUUUAUUGAAUCUCGAUCGUAGUGAUACACAUGUUCAUGCCAAAAGAUAGUAAUGAUAGUACCACCUACUUGUGGCACUGCCACGUAAGUCAUAUCGGUAUAAAACGCAUGAAGAAGCUCCAUGUUGAUGGAUCUUUGGGCUCACUCAUUUUUGAAAAGUUUGAGACAUGCGAACCAUGUCUAUUGGUGUAUAUGCAUGAAGAAACUCCAUGCAAAUGGACCGUUUGGACUCACUUGAUUUUGAAUCACUUGAGACAUGCAAAUCAUACCACAUGGGCAAGAUGACUGAAAGCCUCAUUUUCAGUAAAAUGGAACUAGAAAGCAACUUGUUGGAAGUAAUACAUUUUGAUGUGUGCAGUCCAAUGAGUGCUGAGGCGUGUAGUGGAUAUCGUUAUGUUCUUACUUCACAGAUGAUUUGAGUAGAUGUUGAGUAUAUUUACUUGAUGAAUCACGAGUCUGAAUUAUUGAAAGGUUCAAGUAAUUUCAGGGUGAAGUUGAAAGAUCGUCAUGAGAAGAGGAUAAAAUAUCUAUGAUAUGAUCAUAGAGAUGAGUAUCUGAAUUACGAGUUUGGCAUAGAAUUAAGACAUUGUGGAAAUUGUUUCACAACUAAUACAGCCUGGAACACCAUAGUGUGAUGGUGUGUCCGAACAUCAUAACCGCACCCUAUUGGAUAUGAUGCAUACCAUGAUGUCUCUUAUCGAAUUACCACAAUAGUUUAUGGGUUAGGCAUUAGAGACAACCACAUUCACUUUAAAAGGGGCACCACGUAAUCCCGAUGAGAUGACACCGUAUGAACUAUGGUUUAGGGAAACCUAAGCUGUCAUUUCUUAAAAGUUUGGGGCUGCGACGCUUAUGUGAAAAAGUUUUAGGCUGAUAAGCUCGAACCAAAGCGGAUAAAUGCAUCUUUAUAGGACACCCAAAACAGUUGGGUAUACCUCCUAUCUCAGAACCGAAAGCAAUAAGGGAUUGUUUCUAGAAUCGGGUCCUUUCUCGAGGAAAAGUUUCUCUCGAAAGAAUUGAGUGGGAGGAUGGUGGAGACUUGAUGAUGUUAUUGAACCGUCUCUUCAACUAGUGUGUGGCAGGGCAUAGGAAGUUGUACCUGUGGCACCUACACCAAUUGAAGUGGAAGCUUAUGAUAGUGAUCAUGAAACUUCAGAUCAAGUCACUACCAAACCUCGUGGGAUGACAAGGAUGCGUACUACUUCAGAGUGGUACGUGAUCCUGUCUUGGAAGUCAUGUUGCUAGACAACAGUGAACCUACGAGCCAUGGAGAAGCGAUGGUGGGCCCGAAUUCCGAUAAAUGGCUCGAGGCCAUAAAAUCCGAGAGAGGAUCCAUGUAUGAAAACAAAGUGUAGACUUUGGGAGAACUACUUGAUGGUCGUAAGGCUGUUAGGUACAUAUGGAUUUUAAAAGGAAGACGGACAAUGAUGGUAGGUAUCACCAUUAAGAAAGCUCGACUUGUCGUUAAGAUGUUUUCCGACAAGUUCAAGGAGUUGACUACGAUGAGACUUUCUCACUCGUAGCGAUGCUAAGAGUCUGUUAGAAUUAUAUUAGCAAUUACUGCAUUAUUUAUGAAAUCUUGCAGAUAGGAUGUCAAAAACAUUGUUUCCUCGACGAUUUUCUUGAGGAAAGGUUGUAUGUGAUACAACCGGAAGGUUUUGUCAAUCCUGAAAGAUGCUAAUAAGUAUGCAAAGCUCCAGCAAUCCUUCUAAGGACUGGAGUAAGCAUCUCGGAGUUGAAAUGUAUGCUUUGAUGAGAUGAUCAAAGAUUUUGGGUGUAUACAAAGUUUAUGAGAAACUUGUAUUUCCAAAGAAGUGAGUGGGAGCACUAUAGAAUUUCUGAUGAAUAUAUGUUGUUGACAUAUUGAUGAUCAGAAAUGACGUAGAAUUUCUGGAAAGCAUAUAGGGUUAUUUGGAAAGUGUUUUUCAAUGGAAAGCCUGGAUUAAGCUAUUUGAACAUUGAGCAUCAAGAUCUAUAAGGAUAGAUCAAAACGCUUAAUGGUACUUUCAAAUGAAUACAUACCGUGACAAGAUUUUGAAGGAGUUCAAAAUGGAUCGGCAAAGAAGGAGUUCUUGGCUGUGUUAUAAGGUGUGAAUAUUGAGUAAGACUCGAAACCUGACCACGGCAGAAUAGAGAGAAAGGACGAAGGUCGUCCCCUAUGCUUUAGACGUAGGCUCUACAGUAUGCUAUGUUGUGUACCGCACCUGAAGUGUGCCUUGCCAUGAGUCAGUCAAGGGGUACAAGAGUGAUCCAAGAAUGGAUUACAUGAUAGCGGUCAAAGUUAUCCUUAGUAACUAGUGGACUAAGGAAUUUUCUCGAUUAUGGAGGUGGUAAAAGAGUUCGUCGUAAAGGGUUACGCCGAUGCAAACUUUGACACUAAUCCAGAUUAUUCUGAGUAGUAAACUGGAUUCGUAUAGUAGAACAGUUGUUUGGAAUAGCUCCAAAUAGAACGUGGUAGCUGCAUCUAGGAGAUGACAUAGAGUUUUGUAAAGCACACACGGAUCUAAAAGGUUCAGAUCCGUUGACUAUAACAUCUCUCACAAGCAUAACAUGAUCAAACCCAGAACUCAUCGAGUGUUAAUCACAUGGUAAUGUGAACUAGAUUAUCGACUCUAGUAGACUCUUUGGGUGUUAGUCACAUGGGGAUGUGACCUUGAGUGUUAAUCACAUAUCGAUGUGAACUGGAUUAUUGACUCUAGUGCAAGUGGGAGACUAUUGGAAAUAUGCCCUAGAGGCAAUAAUAAAUUAGUUAUUAUUAUAUUUCCUUGUUCAUGAUAAUCGUUUAUUAUCCAUGCUAGAAUUGUAUUGAUAGGAAACUCAGAUACAUGUGUGGAUACAUAGACAACACCAUGUCCCUAGUAAGCCUCUAGUUGACUAGCUCGUUGAUCAAUAGAUGGUUACGGUUUCCUGACCAUGGACAUUGGAUGUCAUUGAUAACGGGAUCACAUCAUUAGGAGAAUGAUGUGAUGGACAAGACCCAAUCCUAAGCCUAGCACAAGAUCAUGUGGUUCGUAUGCUAAAGCUUUUCUAAUGUCAAGUAUCAUUUCCUUAGACCAUGAGAUUGUGCAACUCCCGGAUACCGUAGGAAUACUUUGGGUGUGCCAAACGUCACAACGUAACUGGGUGACUAUAAAGGUGCACUACGGGUAUCUCCGAAAGUGUCUGUUGGGUUGGCACGAAUCGAGACUGGGAUUUGUCACUCCGUGUGACGGAGAGGUAUCUCCGGGCCCACUCGGUAGGACAUCAUCAUAAUGUGCACAAUGUGAUCAAGGAGUUUAUCACGGGAUGAUCUGUUACAGAACGAGUAAAGAGACUUGCCGGUAACGAGAUUAAACAAGGUAUCGGGAUACCGACGAUCGAAUCUCGGGCAAGUAUUGUACCGAUAGACAAAGGGAAUUGUAUACGGGAUUGAUUAAGUCCUUGACAUCGUGGUUCAUCCGAUGAGAUCAUCGUGGAACAUGUGGGAGCCAACAUGGGUAUCCAGAUCCGCUGUUGGUUAUUGACCGGAGAGUCAUCUCGGUCAUGUCUGCAUGUCUCCCGAACCCGUAGGGUCUACACACUUAAGGUUCGGUGACGCUAGGGUUAUAGAGAUAUUAGUAUGCGGUAACCCGAAAGUUGUUCGGAGUCCCGGAUGAGAUCCGGGACGUCACGAGGAGUUCUAGAAUGGUCCGGAGGUAAAGAUUUAUAUAUGGGAAGUCUUGUUUUGGUCGCCAGACAAGUUUCGGGGUCACCGGUAUUGUACCGGGACCACCGGAAGGGUCCCGGGGGUCCACCGGGUGGGGCCACCUGCCCCGGGGGGCCACAUGGGCUGUAGGGGGUGCACCUUGGCCUAUAUGGGCCAAGGGCACCAGCCCCAAGAGGCCCAUGCGCCAAGAGAAGAGGGAAAGGAAGAGUCCUAAAGGGGGAAGGCACCUCCGAGGUGCCUUGGGGAGGAGGGACUCCUCCCUGGCCGCACCCUUCCUUGGAGGAAGGGCCAAGGCUGCGGCCCCCCUCUCCCUUGGUCCUAUAUAUAGUGGGGGAAGGGAGGGCAGCAACACCUAAGCCCUGGCGCCUCCCUCUCCCUCCCAUGACACACCUCCCUCCUCCCGCAGCGCUUGGCGAAGCCCUGUUGGAAUCCCGCUACUUCCACCACCACGCCGUCGUGCUGCUGGAUCUCCAUCAACCUCUCCUCCCCCUUGCUGGAUCAAGAAGGAGGAGACGUCGCUGCUCCGUACGUGUGUUGAACACGGAGGUGCCGUCCGUUCGGCGCUAGGAUCAUCGGUGAUUUGGAUCACGACGAGUACGACUCCAUCAACCCCGUUCUCUUGAACGCUUCCGCGCGCGAUCUACAAGGGUAUGUAGAUCCACUCCUCCCUCGUUGCUAGAUGACUCCAUAGAUAGAUCUUGGUGACACGUAGGAAAAUUUUGAAUUUAUGCUACGUUCCCCAACAACAAUAACCUCUCUAGUCAUGUUGCUCCUAUUAGCACCAUCAGGCAGAGUGAUAAUCAAUUAUCUAUCCUUGCUCCUGAAAAUGAUCUACCUAUUGCUAUGAGGAAACCUACAAGAAAUGGAAACAUUCCUGGACACCUCAAAGAUUAUAAACAUGAUAUAGCUAAUUUCAUUUCCUAUGAAUAUUGCACUCCACCCUUCAAAAGCUUUAUUGCCUCUUUAGACUCUGUUUCCAUACCAUCAAACUGGAAAAUAGCUAUAGAGGACCCAAACUGGAAGGGAGCAAUGCUUGAUGAGAUGAAAGCCUUGGAGAAGAAUUAGACUUGGGAGCUUGUGGAUCUACCACCAGGUAAGCAACCAGUAGGAUGUAAGUGGGCAUUCACUAUUAAACACACCCCUGAGGGAAAGGUGGAUAGGUAUAAAGCCCGUCUCGUGGCAAAAGGCUACACACAAACAUAUGGAAUCGAUUAUGAAGAGACCUUUGCACCUGUGGCGAAGAUGAAUUCAGUAAGGACACUUAUAUCAUGUGCUGCAAACCUUGAUUGGGAUAUUUACCAGAUGGAUGUGAAGAAUGCUUUCCUUCAUGGUGAUCUCCAAGAAGCAGUAUACAUGCAUAUACCGCCUGGAUUUGAGUGAAGUAAAACUGUUGGAAAGGUAUUGCACCUACAUCGUUCUUUAUAUGGCUUAAAGCAAUCACCACGUGCUUGGUUUGAUCGGUUUAGACAUGCCAUGCUAAAAAGGGGUUAUUUUCAAAGUAAUGCUGACCAUACACUAUUUUAUAAGCAUAUUAAUGGCAAGGUUGCAAUCUUGAUAGUGUAUGUCGAUGACAUUGUGAUUACUGGAGAUGAUUCCAAGGAAGUUGCAGAGCUGAAGUAUCAUCUUGCGCAUGAGUUUGAAGUGAAGGACUUGGGACAAUUAAGAUAUUUUCUUGGUAUAGAGGUCUCACCAGGGUCGAAGGGUAUUUUUCUCUCACAACGAAAAUAUAUCUUGGAUCUGCUCAAGGAAACUGGUAUGCUUGGUUGUCGACCUGCUGCUACACCUAUUGAGCAAAAUCAUCGGUUAUGUAGUGAUGUUGGGACACCAGUGGAUCGAGAGCGCUACCAGAGACUAGUUGGAAAGUUAAUAUAUUUAUCUCAUACCCGUCCAGAUAUUGCCUUUGCUGUGAGUGUAGUUAGCCAAUACAUGCAUGACCCAAAAUCAACUCAUAUGGAGGCUGUAAAUAAGAUCCUACGGUAUCUUAAAGGGUGCCCAGGAAAAGGCCUCUUAUAUACCAAACAAGGGGACUUGCAAGUUGAGUGUUAUACCGAUGCUGAUUGGGCUGGUUCCCUAGAUGAUAGGCGCUCAACAUCUGGUUACUGUGCAUUUGUUGGUGGAAACCUAGUUUCAUGGCGAAGUAAAAAGCAAAGUGUGGUGGCUCGGUCUACCGCAGAAGCUGAGUUUAGAUCUAUGGCUCAUGGCAUAUGUGAGUUAUUAUGGUUGCAGAUCCUCCUAGCAGAGCUGCGGUUGUACAAGUACAAACCUCUGAUGUUGUACUCUGACAACAAAGCUGCCAUUGAUAUUGCAAAUAACCCUGUUCAGUAUGACCGAACCAAGCACAUAGAGAUUGAUCGUCAUUUCAUCAAGGAGAAGCUCGAUAGAGGGAUAAUUUGCCUACCAUAUGUAACUUCAGCCAGUCAAGUAGCAGAUAUACUUACAAAAGGACUCCCGAAAAAAACUUUUUCCAUGUUUUGUACCAAGAUGGGUAUGUACGACAUAUUCUCCCCAUCUUGAGGGGGAGUGUUGGUGUAUAAAUAAUGUAAUUAGAGGACUCCGUAGGGUCUAAAAUGUAAAGUGUACAAACAAAAUAUAACUCAGAACAAAGAGACUGGAUCGGUGAGGAACGCUCCAGAAUUCCCCCAAAUCCUCUUCGUGCCAUCUCCAUCCCUAGCCCAAAUCUUACAAAUCCCACAUGAUUUUCAUCAAUUAGGCAUGCUCUUAUUUUCAAUGUGUUUUAACCGUCACAUGAUCUUAUUUUCUAUUGCUAAAUCCACACAAAUGCCCUUUGUUUCGGUCGUUAUGCGCUCUUGUUUCCACGGGAGAAUCAGAAUCAAACACUACGUAGUUUGAUCUCCCCCCAGACCGGAAUCAUGAGAAGCCACAAGUAUUUUAUAAUGUGUCUGGUCAGCACAAGAUGACGCCGCGCACCAGCAGCAGAUGAAGCUCCCCUCCCCUGAUACGACUCCCCCGCCAGUUCGCCCCGGGUUGUUGGGCACGACGACUGUGCCGAGCCACUGAACCUGCGGGGUUGGGUUGCGCGAACGGACGCCACCACCGCCGGUUACACAAGCCAAGCGUAUCUCGCGUGAGAUCACGGGGGAGGCUGGGGCUGGCCGCCGCGAGAGGAGACGUGCGCGUGCAUCAUGCAUGAGUCAUGCAGCAAGAAACCGGCGCCCGCCAGAACAGUAGCAGCUGGCUGCAUGUAAACGCGUAGGGCGAUAUGGCAUUUUGUUAAAUAAAUUAAUAAAGUACGUAUACGCAAUGGAGAGUGUCGAUGGUACGGACGGGCUCGCACGCUCCUGAUAGCUGGACGAACGAUUGGACGACGCGUUGCAGGCUGUAUUCAAUGCGAGCGUAUGGCUAACAGGCCGAGUACGCCUGCACAAACGCUGGAUUUCUGCGGCGGAGGCGUGUAAAAUAACGUGCAAUUAACGACCGACCAUUAUGCUGUUCCAUUGGCACAGGUCUUUUCGCACGGUACAGAACAAUGUCCGUUAGCUGCGCCACUGUUGAUUAGAUUAUGCUACAGCUCUCUAUUUGUUCACCUGGAUGACUGGUCAACCUUGUGUUUGCUUCUAUUAUUUCUGUCAAGUCCCAUAAACCAGCCCAUCCAGAAAAAAAAAACUACCCACUUCUGUAAAGUGCGCAAUUUUUCCAUCAUAUCACGCUCUCGAUCAAGGUCUAUCUGCUAAAAAGAUUUCCUUUUACUUGGCUUGCUCCAAUGGUCUUUGCUUCGAUUUUAAACCGCUUGUUUAUUUCGAAAAGGUAUAGAGAGAUUUUUUUUUCAAACAACCAAAUAAUUAAAAAAAAUCUAUGUGUUCAACGUCUCAUGCAAAUGCUAUCUACCAAUUUGUAGGGAAAAAGACUAAACAUUUUUUCGCGGGGAAAAAAAGAACACCAACUAUCAUCACAAAAUGUCACACUAAAAUUGUUUUCUUCACCACAAAACACUAGUGCUUCAUUUUGCAUGAGAAAAAUUUAUCGAUGCUUGAACCACUAACACGGAAAUCUAUAAAAAUAAGUCGGAAUUUAUUGAAACCAUUUAGACCAUUUUUCCACCAAGUAACACGUGAGCCAAAACGCCAUAAGCAAGGGAUUUGCUCGGUCUGUGCCGCCGCGUUGUCACGUUCCUACAGAAACACUUACGGCCGCCUUGUAAUCUUUUUUUACCCGUGUUGACAUACUGUAUCUGCUAAAAACAAUCUUCCUGACUAAAUUGAAAACAUGGCCACUAAUACGCUGGCAGUAGUUGAUACACUAUUGAACUUCAACCAAACACUCCCUCAAACGGCCCCUCGUAUGAGUAUAAAAUUAAAAAUUAAAAAUGAUGUUCUCAAACCGGCCGUUGGUGGGUCCCAAAUGUUUUCUUAAACUCUGAUGUUCCCUUGAUCACCCUGACCGUAGAAUAGUCAAUGCAUGCCUCCGUGCCGCGGCCGACUCCAUACUCCGGUACACAUUGUUCCAUACAUAUUGAUGUAGAACAGUGAACAAACGGCCUGCAGGAAACAGUAACGUCCACGACCUCCAUCGGUGUCUCCUGCUGUCGCGUACGUGCAUUAAAUAUCCCUUGUACGCCAUCUGUACUACCACACACGUCUCGUAUCUAUAUGCGAACGAACGCUUGCCGAUACCGUGAGCGCGCGAGCUCGUCCACGCCAACGGAUUUUCGUACGCAAAGGCUCUUGCGUGCGUCGUAGGUGUCACCGAUCGGGAGAUAAUGUAUUUGGCAUGUGAAGAAGGAAGGGCAUCGGCCGGCCGGCCCUGCCUCGCCUUCAACCGGCAAUCAUGAUUCAUGAAGAUCGAUUUGAUUUAUCUCCCCAAGGCCCAGAACCAGAAGUUUGACGUAUUAAAAAUGAUGAACGAACGGACGUAAACAAAGCAUGGUAGCGAGUCUAAAAUGUGAUGAUACAUUUGUGCUUUGGUCCGGCUUAAGGAAACCCAACAAAAAAA